AGAGUUUGAUCCUUCCUCAGAUUGAACGCUGGCGGCAUGCUUUACACAUGCUAGUCGAACGGUAACAGGGAGCUUGCUCCGCUGACGAGUGGCGAACGUGUGAGUAAUGCGUCGGAACGUGCCGAGUAGUGGGGGAUAACGCAUCGAAAGGUGUGCUAAUACCGCAUACGAACUGAGGUUGAAAGUGGGGGACCUUCGGGCCUCACGCUAUUCGAGCGGCCGACGUCUGAUUAGCUAGUUGGUGAGGUAAAGGCUCACCAAGGCGACGAUCAGUAGCGGGUCUGAGAGGAUGAUCCGCCACACUGGGACUGAGACACGGCCCAGACUCCUACGGGAGGCAGCAGUGGGGAAUUUUGGACAAUGGGCGCAAGCCUGAUCCAGCCAUGCCGCGUGUCUGAAGAAGGCCUUCGGGUUGUAAAGGACUUUUGUCCGGGAGCAAAUGCCUGGUGUUAAUAGCAUCGGGAGCUGAGAGUACCGGAAGAAUAAGCACCGGCUAACUACGUGCCAGCAGCCGCGGUAAUACGUAGGGGGCAAGCGUUGUCCGGAAUUAUUGGGCGUAAAGGGCGCGUAGGCGGAUUUUUAAGUCUGGUGUGAAAGAUCAGGGCUCAACCCUGAGAGUGCAUCGGANACUGGGGAUCUUGAGGACAGGAGAGGAAAGUGGAAUUCCACGUGUAGCGGUGAAAUGCGUAGAUAUGUGGAGGAACACCAGUGGCGAAGGCGACUUUCUGGACUGUAACUGACGUUGAGGCGCGAAAGCGUGGGGAGCAAACAGGAUUAGAUACCCUGGUAGUCCACGCCGUUAACGAUGAGUGCUAGGUGUAGAGGGUAUCGACCCCUUCUGUGCCGCA
Molecule: ribosomal RNA, 848 nt
Filed under: uncultured bacterium
Lineage: Bacteria
Description: bacterial SSU rRNA
Rfam family: Bacterial small subunit ribosomal RNA
Source: RNAcentral